UACGGGGGGAGCAAGCGUUGUUCGGAAUUACUGGGCGUAAAGGGCGCGUAGGCGGCCAACUAAGUCGGACGUGAAAUCCCUCGGCUUAACUGGGGAACUGCGUCCGAUACUGGAUGGCUUGGAUUUGGGAGAGGGAUGCGGAAUUCCAGGUGUAGCGGUGAAAUGCGUAGAUAUCUGGAGGAACACCGGUGGCGAAGGCGGCAUCCUGGACCAAUAUUGACGCUGAGGAGCGAAAGCUAGGGGAGCAAACAGG
RNAcentral lists this ribosomal RNA (253 nucleotides) under uncultured bacterium. RNAcentral describes it as "partial 16S ribosomal RNA". It matches the Rfam family "Bacterial small subunit ribosomal RNA", at positions 524 to 776 of the family's 1533-position model. The record is from RNAcentral.